This is a long non-coding RNA of Cucurbita moschata (crookneck pumpkin), 1167 nucleotides long. RefSeq lists it as uncharacterized. The transcript has 6 exons. Lineage: Eukaryota; Viridiplantae; Streptophyta; Magnoliopsida; Cucurbitales; Cucurbitaceae. The record is from RefSeq and is a predicted model, not a curated record.
UUGCAUCGUCGAGAGUUUUCCACGGUCAAAGUCAAACGGUCUUCAGAGCCGUUACCCGCCCUUAGCUGGCGUCAAGCGGUCUUCAGAGCCGUUGCCCGGCCUCCGCGCAUUCACACUCGCUAUAUAUAUCCCCCCGCACUCGCACUCUCUUCUUCAGCACAUUCUAACACUAGUGUACGAGUGCUCCAUCAACGGCCUCUUCCCUUUUGAGUGUUCGUUGCCGAAACCAAAAGCUAGGUCUACCAGGCAAUCGGAGGAAGAGAGAGCACAAGCGAAAGGAGUAGAGUGUUCGUUAUGUAUAUCCCCCCGCACUCGCAUUCUCUUCUUCAGCACACUCUCACACUAGUAUCCGAGUGCUCCAUCAACGGCCUCUUCCCUUUUGAGUGUUCGUUGCCGAAACCAAACGCUAGGUCUACCAGGCAAUCGGAGGAAGAGAGAGCACAAGCGAAAGGAGUAGAGAGAGCACAAGCGAAAGGAGUUUCUCGCAUCGUCUCGGUGGUGAAAAAUAGAGAAGAGAGGAAGACGACGAACUCUUAUGUCAUUGAGAUUGGUGCCGAUAACGGAGAGCGGAAGAACGAAGCAGUCGCUCUCGAUGAAGUGAUUGCUUGGGCAAAAGAAAAGCAGUUCGUCCUGCCACUGAGGCCGGUCAUGACGAUGAACGAUAUAGAGAUAUACACUGCCUGGAUAACAAUCAGUUUGUUGAAAUAGAAGGACGGUAGGAUUCAUGUAAAGUUUGUUGCAAACAGUUAGGGUACCACAAUACACAGAGAUGGAAGUGGUGGAGGGAAUAGAUGGAGAUAAUAAAGUUGAGGCCAUUCUACGAGGAAUCCAACUCCGGUUGCUACUUUAAACACUCCAAUCACGCUACUGAAACUGGAGGGCCAUAUGGAUCCAUCAAUGAUGAUUCUCGAACAGUUUUCAAGUAUGGUAUUACAUUAUUAGUUUUGAAUUACUAAACUUCUACGUUUUUUAGUUCCAAAAUUAUUUUCAGCCAUCAUAGGGUACUGUUGAAGUAGUUCGUAGGUAACCAAAAGCAUGCAAUCAAUCUGAUCUUGUCAGGAGUUAUUAGAGUGAAUAAGCUAUUCAGAAAGCAUGUUUAUUACCAACAGAAGAUUGUGCUAACUCCAUUGAAAGGGCAUGUUUAAGUCAUCACCAUACGUUAGAUUA